This 900-nucleotide ribosomal RNA is filed under the name uncultured candidate division GN10 bacterium. RNAcentral's name for it is "bacterial SSU rRNA". It matches the Rfam family "Bacterial small subunit ribosomal RNA", at positions 381 to 1310 of the family's 1533-position model. The record is from RNAcentral.
ACCUGACGGAGCACGCCGCGUGAAGGAUGACAGCCUUAGGGUUGUAAACUUCUUUUUUUAGGGAACAAUUUUGAGGGUACCUAACGAAUAAGUCACGGCUAAUCACGUGCCAGCAGCCGCGGUAAUACGUGAGUGGCUAGCGUUAUCCGGAAUUAUUGGGCGUAAAGCGUCAGCAGGAGGUUUGUUUAGUGAGAUGUAAAAUAUCACGGCUUAACCGUGGGACAGCAUCUCAUACUGACAGACUAGAGGAAUGUAGAGGCAUAUGGAAUUCCAGGAGUAGGGGUAAUAUCCGUAGAUACCUGGAGGAACACCAAUAGCGAAGGCAGUAUGCUGGGCAUUUCCUGACUCUCAGUGACGAAAGCGUGGGGAGCGAACCGGAUUAGAUACCCGGGUAGUCCACGCCGUAAACUAUGGAUACUCGGUGCAGGGAACAUCGAUCUUCUCUGUGCCCAAGCUAACGCGUUAAGUAUCCCACCUGGGGAGUACGGUCGCAAGGCUAAAACUCAAAGGAAUUGACGGGGAUCCACACAAGCGGUGGAGCAUGUGGUUUAAUUCGACGAUAAGCGAGGAACCUUACCCAGACUUGACAUCCCGAGAACCCUGUGGAAACACGGGGGUGCCGUUUACGGAAUUCGGUGACAGGUGCUGCAUGGUUGUCGUCAGCUCGUGCCGUGAGGUGUACGGUUAAGUCCGAUAACGAGCGCAACCCUUGUCAUUAGUUGUAUUUCUCUAAUGAGACUGCCCAUGUAAGUGGGAGGAAGGUGGGGAUGACGUCAAAUCAGCAUGGCUCUUACGUCUGGGGCGACACACGUGCUACAAUGGGGUAUACAAUGGGUAGCCAACCCGCAAGGGGGAGCCAAUCCCAUCAAAGUACUUCUAAGUUCGGAUUGAAGGCUGCAA